RNAcentral lists this ribosomal RNA (253 nucleotides) under uncultured prokaryote. Its description in RNAcentral is "partial 16S ribosomal RNA". It matches the Rfam family "Bacterial small subunit ribosomal RNA", at positions 525 to 777 of the family's 1533-position model. The record is from RNAcentral.
ACGAAGGGGGCUAGCGUUGUUCGGAAUUACUGGGCGUAAAGGGCGCGUAGGCGGUCCGAUAAGUCAGAUGUGAAAGGCCUGAGCUUAACUUGGGAACUGCAUUUGAUACUGUUGGACUAGAGAGUGAGAGAGGAAAGUGGAAUUGCGAGUGUAGAGGUGAAAUUCGUAGAUAUUCGCAAGAACACCAGUGGCGAAGGCGGCUUUCUGGCUCACAACUGACGCUAAGGCGCGAAAGCGUGGGGAGCAAACAGGA